UGGGGAAUUUUGGACAAUGGGGGAAACCCUGAUCCAGCCAUCCCGCGUGUGCGAUGAAGGCCUUCGGGUUGUAAAGCACUUUUGGCAGGAAAGAAACGUCGCGGGUUAAUACCCCGCGAAACUGACGGUACCUGCAGAAUAAGCACCGGCUAACUACGUGCCAGCAGCCGCGGUAAUACGUAGGGUGCAAGCGUUAAUCGGAAUUACUGGGCGUAAAGCGUGCGCAGGCGGUUCGGAAAGAAAGAUGUGAAAUCCCAGAGCUUAACUUUGGAACUGCAUUUUUAACUACCGGGCUAGAGUGUGUCAGAGGGAGGUGGAAUUCCGCGUGUAGCAGUGAAAUGCGUAGAUAUGCGGAGGAACACCGAUGGCGAAGGCAGCCUCCUGGGAUAACACUGACGCUCAUGCACGAAAGCGUGGGGAGCAAACAGGAUUAGAUACCCUGGUAGUCCACGCCCUAAACGAUGUCAACUAGCUGUUGGGGGCCUUCGGGCCUUGGUAGCGCAGCUAACGCGUGAAGUUGGCCGCCU
Molecule: ribosomal RNA, 527 nt
Filed under: uncultured bacterium
Lineage: Bacteria
Description: partial 16S ribosomal RNA
Rfam family: Bacterial small subunit ribosomal RNA
Source: RNAcentral